Non-coding RNA from Cronartium quercuum f. sp. fusiforme G11, 89 nucleotides. The record is from the annotation of a GenBank genome assembly. Lineage: Eukaryota; Fungi; Basidiomycota; Pucciniomycetes; Pucciniales; Coleosporiaceae.
AGUUAGGUAGCCUAGUGAUUAAGGCAGCCCAUGUAUGUUGGGUUUGGAUCCAUUGGAUCUGAUUGCUGGUUUGAAUCCAGCCCCAACCA